UACGAAGGGUGCAAGCGCUACUCGGAAUUACUGGGCGUAAAGCGUGCGUAGGUGGUUUGUUAAGUCUGUUGUGAAAGCCCCGGGCUCAACCUGGGAAUGGCAAUGGAUACUGGCAGGCUAGAGUGCGGUAGAGGGUAGUGGAAUUCCCGGUGUAGCGGUGAAAUGCGUAGAGAUCGGGAGGAACACCAGUGGCGAAGGCGGCUACCUGGACCAGCACUGACACUGAGGCACGAAAGCGUGGGGAGCAAACAGG
This 253-nucleotide ribosomal RNA is filed under the name uncultured bacterium. RNAcentral's name for it is "partial 16S ribosomal RNA". It matches the Rfam family "Bacterial small subunit ribosomal RNA", at positions 524 to 776 of the family's 1533-position model. The record is from RNAcentral.